GAAGACUUGAUUGGAUCCAAAUUUCAAAUGGCUUCUUACUUGGCUGGUAGCUGAUACUAAUUCUACUGAGAAUUUAACUGGAGCAAUGAACUGAGAAGCCUUCCCAGAUAUAAUCACUGGUGCUGUGAUAUGGGUUGUGCAACCAUGAAGAAAUUUUGAUGAUGGAUGGUGGAGCCAAAAAGAUAAGAACCUGAGUACUAUUGAUAUUGUGGCACAUUUAUGCACAGUAUGGUGGACAGUUUCCAGACAUCUGACAUAGUCCCACUUCAAAAACCUCCAGAAUUUCUCCAGUGCCAUGGACCCUUAUCCAGUUCAGGUUCUCGCUUUGUUGAUUAAGGCCUGCCAACUUGCUGAGGCUGCCCUGGAAUUUGCAAUCCUCCCACCUCAGCGUCCUGAGUCGCUGAGAUUACAGGAGCUAGUCUUUGAUUAUUAGUAGAUGCCUUCUCCAUUUUGGAUGACCUGUUUCACCAGUAG
Long non-coding RNA from Sciurus carolinensis (gray squirrel), 474 nucleotides. RefSeq lists it as uncharacterized. Lineage: Eukaryota; Metazoa; Chordata; Mammalia; Rodentia; Sciuridae. The record is from RefSeq and is a predicted model, not a curated record. The transcript has 4 exons.